This 730-nucleotide ribosomal RNA is filed under the name uncultured bacterium. RNAcentral's name for it is "bacterial SSU rRNA". It matches the Rfam family "Bacterial small subunit ribosomal RNA", at positions 28 to 776 of the family's 1533-position model. The record is from RNAcentral.
GAUGAACGCUGACAGAAUGCUUAACACAUGCAAGUCGACUUGAAGCAACUUCGGUUGUGGAAAGUGGCGGACGGGUGAGUAACGCGUAAAGAACUUGCCCUUCAGUCUGGGACAACCAUUGGAAACGAUGGCUAAUACCGGAUAUUAUGGAACUCUCGCAUGGGAGGAUCAUGAAAGCUAUAUGCGCUGAAGGAGAGCUUUGCGUUCCAUUAGCUAGUUGGUGAGGUAACGGCUCACCAAGGCGACGAUGGAUAGCCGGCCUGAGAGGGUGAUCGGCCACAAGGGGACUGAGACACGGCCCUUACUCCUACGGGAGGCAGCAGUGGGGAAUAUUGGACAAUGGACCAAAAGUCUGAUCCAGCAAUUCUGUGUGCACGAUGAAGGUUUUCGGAUCGUAAAGUGCUUUCAGUUGGGAAGAAGAAAGUGACGGUACCAACAGAAGAAGCGACGGCUAAAUACGUGCCAGCAGCCGCGGUAAUACGUAUGUCGCAAGCGUUAUCCGGAUUUAUUGGGCGUAAAGCGCGUCUAGGCGGAUUCAUAAGUCUGAUGUUAAAAUGCGGGGCUCAACUCCGUAUUGCGUUGGAAACUGUGAAUCUAGAGUAUCAGAGAGGUGGGCGGAACUACAAGUGUAGAGGUGAAAUUCGUAGAUAUUUGUAGGAAUGCCGAUGGAGAAGUCAGCUCACUGGAUGAAUACUGACGCUAAAGCGCGAAAGCGUGGGUAGCAAACAGG